Molecule: transfer RNA, 88 nt
Filed under: Geobacter sp.
Lineage: Bacteria; Pseudomonadati; Thermodesulfobacteriota; Desulfuromonadia; Geobacterales; Geobacteraceae
Description: tRNA-Leu
Rfam family: tRNA
About the family: Transfer RNA (tRNA) molecules are approximately 80 nucleotides in length. Their secondary structure includes four short double-helical elements and three loops (D, anti-codon, and T loops).
Source: RNAcentral
GCCCGAAUGGCGGAAUUGGUAGACGCAAGGGACUUAAAAUCCCUCGGCACUUAGUGCUGUGCCGGUUCGACCCCGGCUUCGGGCACCA